RNAcentral lists this long non-coding RNA (1086 nucleotides) under Equus caballus (horse). Its description in RNAcentral is "lncRNA (ENSECAG00000048709.1)". The record is from RNAcentral. Lineage: Eukaryota; Metazoa; Chordata; Mammalia; Perissodactyla; Equidae.
UCUUUGAUGUCCCUCAAUCCCUUUAUCUUUCUCUAGGCUUCCUUGUCAUAUUUUCUGUGACAGCUCUCAGGGGACCAAGGCCAGCAGAAUUUUCUAUGCCUUGGGAAUAUCUAUCCCCCUCAGUAAUUCAGACAGUAGGAAGGGGAACUUGUUGUGUGUCCCAGAGGGACCCUUCGACAGUGCAUUUGACAUUGACAGCUUUCUUUGUCAUGAAGAAUGGAAUUCAGAGGUACAUGGAUCACAUAGUCUAAUGAUAAAACUUUGGAGUCGUAUCAGGCUUUAUAAUUUACGGAGCACUUUCCCAUCUAUCACCUUACUUUAUUCUCACAACAAUCUAUCAAGGAAGGCAGUAUGGCUGUUUUUAUUUCUGUUUCACAGAAGAGGAAAUGGAAGCUCGGAGAGGUUAAAUGGCUUGCCCAAGGUCGUCCAGAUAUAAGGCGGGGGUGUAACAUUCCCUUGCAUCUCCAGGUUCCUGGGCUCUGACACACCCCGCCCCCAUCCCAUGACACCAAGCUGCUUCCUGCAGUGGCAUUGUUAGGGGCAACAAGAAUGGACUUCUAGCAAGGCUGCUUCCACAAAGCUGGCAAAGAAUCAGAGAUCGGGUGCUGGAGAAUUCAGGGCAAGAGCCGAGGAGUCCCUGGUCCCUCUGCUGCCAACUGCCCACCUCCCCAAGGCACCAAGGCACGCCAUCAUCUGGAUGAUUGCUUGAUUGGCACUGCUUGCUGAAACGGCUAUUUGAGAGAUGUGAAAAAGAUGGAGAGUAGAGAGGAAGCCUGUGAAAAUACCUCCACAAUUGCAGGUGGGACGCCUGCCACAGCAUGGCCUUUCCCAAGCGGUGCCACGUCCGCACCCAGGAUUCGAACCAGCGAACCCCAGGCCGCUGAGAAGCAGAACGUGCCGCUGUGCCAUCGGGCCAGCCCCUCAAAGUUUUCAGUUCUUCCUGAGAUCAAUAAAGCUUAAAAGAAAAGAAAAAGCCAACUCAGCUUGUGUGUGGCUUCUGGAUCUUGACUAAUGCAGACCCCUUUCCUGGAGUGGAAGCCAUGCUUGACAGCUCAGCUUUCUCGUCACUAAUGAGUUGGGACGUGA